This 462-nucleotide unclassified non-coding RNA is filed under the name Hevea brasiliensis (rubber tree). The record is from RNAcentral. Lineage: Eukaryota; Viridiplantae; Streptophyta; Magnoliopsida; Malpighiales; Euphorbiaceae.
UCUCCAUAUUGAAUGCAGUUGUCAAUUUGAGCCAAAACAUAUUGUAUACUGCUUUCCUUCCUCAGGUCAAGUGGCACAAAAUUCACCAUGCUAUACUCAUCCACCAGUUCAAUCAAAGCUUUAUUUAGCUUUAAAAACUGAGGGGCCAUGCGUUGAUUCAGUUCUGACAACAAAGCUCGAGGCUCUGGAUUCAAGUAAUCUUCAACGUCCUUUUUGUUGGUUAAGAGGUCCAUUUUGGAGAGGAUAUUAACAUGAGGCAAUUCAAGUUGUACCAUUGCAGAAAGGGAUGCCAUACACCCACUUAUAAACUUGGUCACAUCUGUGAUGAACUGUGAAUCAAUUAAGUACACAGCACAGACAUUGAAAUUUUUACGCUUCAAGUGCUCCACAAAGUUCCGAAGCACCGGAACAUGUGAAAAAAGUUCUAUCUGGCCUGGGCAGUCAAAAACUAGAUAGUCAUCA